AGAGUUUUAUCCUGGCUCAGGAUGAACGCUAGCGACAGGCUUAACACAUGCAAGUCGAGGGGCAGCGGGGGAGCAGCUUUGCUCCCGCCGGCGACCGGCGCACGGGUGAGUAACACGUAUGGAACCUGCCCGCAGCAGGGGGAUAAGCGGAAGAAAUUCCGUCUAAUACCGCGUAGCACCGCGGAGGGGCAUCCCUGGGGGGUUAAAGAUUCAUCGGCUGCGGAUGGCCAUGCGGCGCAUUAGCUAGUCGGCGGGGUAACGGCCCACCGAGGCGACGAUGCGUAGGGGUUCUGAGAGGAAGGUCCCCCACACUGGUACUGAGACACGGACCAGACUCCUACGGGAGGCAGCAGUGAGGAAUAUUGGUCAAUGGCCGGGAGGCUGAACCAGCCAAGUCGCGUGAGGGAAGACGGCCCUACGGGUUGUAAACCUCUUUUGUCAGGGAGCAAGAGGCGGGUCGGGACCUGCUGUGAGAGUACCCGAAGAAAAAGCAUCGGCUAACUCCGUGCCAGCAGCCGCGGUAAUACGGAGGAUGCGAGCGUUAUCCGGAUUUAUUGGGUUUAAAGGGUGCGCAGGCGGAGGCACAAGUCAGCGGUAAAAUCGCGGGGCUCAACCCCGCUCCGCCGUUGAAACUGUGUCCCUUGAGUGCGCGAAGGGUAGGCGGAAUGCGUGGUGUAGCGGUGAAAUGCAUAGAUAUCACGCAGAACUCCGAUCGCGAAGGCAGCCUACCGGCGCGCAACUGACGCUCAUGCACGAAAGCGUGGGUAUCGAACAGGAUUAGAUACCCUGGUAGUCCACGCAGUAAACGAUGAAUGCAAUCUGUCCGGCCGGAAUGACGGCUGGGUGGCACAGCGAAAGCGUUAAAGCAUUCCACCUGGGGAGUACGCCGGCAACGGUGAAAACUCAAAGGAAUUGACGGGGGCCCGCACAAGCGGAGGAACAUGUGGUUUAAUUCGAUGAUACGCGAGGAACCUUACCCGGGCUCAAACGACACAGGGAUGCCGCCGAAAGGUGGCAGUCUUUCGGGCCCCCCCCCCGAGGUGCUGCAUGGUUGUCGUCAGCUCGUGCCGUGAGGUGUCGGCUUAAGUGCCAUAACGAGCGCAACCCCCAUCUUCAGUUGCCAUCAGGUAGAGCUGGGCACUCUGGAGAGACUGCCGGCGCAAGCUGCGAGGAAGGCGGGGAUGACGUCAAAUCAGCACGGCCCUUACGUCCGGGGCGACACACGUGUUACAAUGGCAGGUACAGCGGGAAGCCACGCGGCGACGCCGAGCGGAACCCGAAAACCUGUCUCAGUUCGGAUCGGAGUCUGCAACCCGACUCCGUGAAGCUGGAUUCGCUAGUAAUCGCGCAUCAGCCAUGGCGCGGUCCAUACAGGCCCGGGCCUUGUACUCCCCGCCCGUCA
RNAcentral lists this ribosomal RNA (1402 nucleotides) under uncultured bacterium. RNAcentral's name for it is "16S ribosomal RNA". It matches the Rfam family "Bacterial small subunit ribosomal RNA". The record is from RNAcentral.